UUUAACACAAAGCUCUCAAAAUGUUGUCGGUAAUCUCCGUGUACAGAUUACAAAUAAAGAGACUCACGCUGGGUACAUAUGAUACAGAGUGGUGGUAGAUCAGCGGCGAUUAAAACUAGUGACUGAGACAGCCAUAAUAUUAUAGAUCCUAUUCAAGACAUGCAGACAAUAGGACGCACUGCCUAGAGAAGUUUGAAAUGAACUUGACCUACAGAAAAAACCCUCAAAGAAACUGCGUGAUAUAGUGGAAAAAACAACAUGACAUAAUUUAUUCAAGGAAAUGGUCUUGGAUCUUAUGAAAAUUCUUAGAAAAAUCACUGACAGAAGCGAGUCAUAACUAAAUGAAAGGAAUGUGGAUAGGAGAAAAACUACGAAUGUAAAUUCGCGGGAUAGUUGCCGAAAGAGUGAACCAACUUUAACUGCUGAACAGUUCAUGUUUAUAUUCAUAGUCAUAUUUAUGUUUUGUUUUAUUUUAUUUUGUUUCGGUUUUUUGUUUUGUUUUGUUUUAAUACAUUGUUGUUUGUUUUAGUUUAUUGUUUUUUUAAUGAAGGGAUUACAAAAUAUAUUUAUUUGUGUUUUUAAUUUUUAAAUUUUUUUUUUUUUACUUUACUGAAUCAGUAAGAUCUCAUCUCAAACUGCCUCAGUUGCAGCCAUAUUUCCUUCCAUUGGAUCACUGUUAGACGACCCCAACCGUUCAUUUCCGUCAGAAUUCGUAAAUCCUCCGAAGUGUUCCGAACAGACAUAAACACAUCUGUUUAUUGUACAUUUAUUAUUA
This is a long non-coding RNA of Gigantopelta aegis, 775 nucleotides long. RefSeq lists it as uncharacterized. The transcript is spliced from 3 exons. NCBI's taxonomy places the organism in Eukaryota, Metazoa, Mollusca, Gastropoda, Neomphalida, Peltospiridae. The record is from RefSeq and is a predicted model, not a curated record.